ACAGCAGCAGCCGCGGUAAUACAGAGGGUGCAAGCGUUAAUCGGAAUUACUGGGCGUAAAGCGCGCGUAGGUGGUUUGUUAAGUUGGAUGUGAAAUCCCUGAGCUUAACUUAGGAAUUGCAUUCGAUACUGGUUGGCUUGAGUUCGGAAGAGGGUUGUGGAAUUCCCAGUGUAGAGGUGAAAUUCGUAGAUAUUGGGAAGAACACCGGUGGCGAAGGCGGCAACCUGGUCCGAUACUGACGCUGAGGCGCGAAAGCGUGGGGAGCAAACAGGAUUAGAUACCCCCGUAGUCCCUGUCUCUUAUAA
RNAcentral lists this ribosomal RNA (305 nucleotides) under uncultured bacterium. Its description in RNAcentral is "partial 16S ribosomal RNA". It matches the Rfam family "Bacterial small subunit ribosomal RNA", at positions 505 to 809 of the family's 1533-position model. The record is from RNAcentral.